UGUUAAAAAAUUCAUCUAUUUGUACGGCUAAAAAUUGGUUGUUGAAGGAGUAACCGAAUAGUGACAUAUAAUGCGCCAUGUGUACUUUAUGUUGAUGUACGUCAACUAAUUUUUGACAAUAGAAAUAGAUUAAAUUUUUAACA
Molecule: non-coding RNA, 143 nt
Organism: Gossypium arboreum
Lineage: Eukaryota; Viridiplantae; Streptophyta; Magnoliopsida; Malvales; Malvaceae
Source: Rfam